UUUUGGGUCUUUUGGUUCAGAGUACAUGAAAUCAUUCUCUCACUACGUUUCUUUCCUAUUAUUCCUGUAGGGUUUUGCAAUCCUCUUUUCCUUUUAUCUAUAGUGAAUGUAGCAUUUUUCAAAAGCUGUUCUUUUAUUGUUUUUCGCUUUUCUUUUUCUUUCUUUUCAUGUUGUUGUUGUUUUUCUUUUUUUUUCUUUUUUUUCUUUUUUUUCUCUUUUUUUUAUACGACAUUCACUUACUAUUCACGUACUGCAAAGCUACCCCAAACUUAAAGGUUGCUAUUCCAACAGCAACCCCAAACUUAGAUAGAAACGUAUAGAUGAAAUCAAUCCUCACAUACUCUGAAC
This 348-nucleotide long non-coding RNA is filed under the name Lathyrus oleraceus (garden pea). RNAcentral's name for it is "Pisum sativum (pea) long non-coding RNA (PSAT_LNC035675)". Lineage: Eukaryota; Viridiplantae; Streptophyta; Magnoliopsida; Fabales; Fabaceae. The record is from RNAcentral.